AUUGAACGCUGGCGGCAGGCCUAACACAUGCAAGUCGAACGAGUGGCGGACGGGUGAGUAAUGUCUGGGAAACUGCCUGAUGGAGGGGGAUAACUACUGGAAACGGUAGCUACUACCGCAUACCAUCAGAUGUGCCCAGAUGGGAUUAGCUUGUUGGUGGGGUAACGGCUCACCAAGGCGACGAUCCCUAGCUGGUCUGAGAGGAUGACCAGCAAAACGGUAACGGAGAGACGGUCCAGACGCCUACGGGAGGCAGGAGUGGGAAAGAUUGCACAAUGGGCGAAAGCCGGAUGCAGCCAUGCCGCGUGUAUGAAGAAGGCCUUCGGGUUGUAAAGUACGUUCAGCGGGGAGGCGUUACCCGCAGAAGAAGCACCGGCUAACUCCGUGCCAGCAGCCGCGGUAAUAC
RNAcentral lists this ribosomal RNA (406 nucleotides) under uncultured bacterium. RNAcentral's name for it is "partial 16S ribosomal RNA". It matches the Rfam family "Bacterial small subunit ribosomal RNA", at positions 29 to 526 of the family's 1533-position model. The record is from RNAcentral.